AUGCAGCCAUGCCGCGUGUGUGAAGAAGGUCUUCGGGUUGUAAAGCACUUUCAGUUGUGAGGAAAAGUUAGUAGUUAAUACCUGCUAGCCGUGACGUUAACAACAGAAGAAGCACCGGCUAACUCCGUGCCAGCAGCCGCGGUAAUACGGAGGGUGCGAGCGUUAAUCGGAAUUACUGGGCGUAAAGCGCACGCAGGCGGUUUGUUAAGCUAGAUGUGAAAGCCCCGGGCUCAACCUGGGAUGGUCAUUUAGAACUGGCAGACUAGAGUCUUGGAGAGGGGAGUGGAAUUCCAGGUGUAGCAGUGAAAUGCGUAGAUAUCUGGAGGAACAUCAGUGGCGAAGGCGACUCCCUGGCCAAAGACUGACGCUCAUGUGCGAAAGUGUGGGUAGCGAACAGGAUUAGAUACCCUGGUAGUCCACACCGUAAACGCUGUCUACUAGCUGUUUGUGACUUUAAGCCGUGAGUAGCGAAGCUAACGCGAUAAGUAGACCGCCUGGGGAGUACGGCCGCAAGGUUAAAACUCAAAUGAAUUGACGGGGGCCCACACAAGCGGUGGAGCACGUGGUUUAAUUCGAUGCAACGCGAAGAACCUUACCUACACUUGACAUGCAGAGAACUUUCCAGAGAUGGAUUGGUGCCUUCGGGAACUCUGACACAGGUGCUGCAUGGCUGUCGUCAGCUCGUGUCGUGAGAUGUUGGGUUAAGUCCCGCAACGAGCGCAACCCUUGUCCUUAGUUGCCAGCAUUCAGUUGGGCACUCUAAGGAGACUGCC
RNAcentral lists this ribosomal RNA (773 nucleotides) under uncultured Alteromonadaceae bacterium. RNAcentral's name for it is "bacterial SSU rRNA". It matches the Rfam family "Bacterial small subunit ribosomal RNA", at positions 386 to 1153 of the family's 1533-position model. The record is from RNAcentral. Lineage: Bacteria; Pseudomonadati; Pseudomonadota; Gammaproteobacteria; Alteromonadales; Alteromonadaceae.